RNAcentral lists this transfer RNA (76 nucleotides) under Bacillus anthracis (anthrax bacterium). RNAcentral's name for it is "tRNA-Val". It matches the Rfam family "tRNA". Rfam says of the family: Transfer RNA (tRNA) molecules are approximately 80 nucleotides in length. Their secondary structure includes four short double-helical elements and three loops (D, anti-codon, and T loops). Further hydrogen bonds mediate the characteristic L-shaped molecular structure. tRNAs have two regions of fundamental functional importance: the anti-codon, which is responsible for specific mRNA codon recognition, and the 3' end, to which the tRNAs corresponding amino acid is attached (by aminoacyl-tRNA synthetases). tRNAs cope with the degeneracy of the genetic code in two manners: having more than one tRNA (with a specific anti-codon) for a particular amino acid; and 'wobble' base-pairing, i.e. permitting non-standard base-pairing at the 3rd anti-codon position. The record is from RNAcentral. RNAcentral also lists the same sequence under 1 other name. Lineage: Bacteria; Bacillati; Bacillota; Bacilli; Caryophanales; Bacillaceae.
GGAAGAUUAGCUCAGCUGGGAGAGCACCUGCCUUACAAGCAGGGGGUCGGCGGUUCGAUCCCGUCAUCCUCCACCA